GCCUAACACAUGCAAGUCGAACGGUAACAGGAAGCAGCUUGCUGCUUCGCUGACGAGUGGCGGACGGGUGAGUAAUGUCUGGGAAACUGCCUGAUGGAGGGGGAUAACUACUGGAAACGGUGGCUAAUACCGCAUAACGUCGCAAGACCAAAGAGGGGGACCUUCGGGCCUCUUGCCAUCAGAUGUGCCCAGAUGGGAUUAGCUUGUUGGUGAGGUAACGGCUCACCAAGGCGACGAUCCCUAGCUGGUCUGAGAGGAUGACCAGCCACACUGGAACUGAGACACGGUCCAGACUCCUACGGGAGGCAGCAGUGGGGAAUAUUGCACAAUGGGCGCAAGCCUGAUGCAGCCAUGCCGCGUGUAUGAAGAAGGCCUUCGGGUUGUAAAGUACUUUCAGCGGGGAGGAAGGUGUUG
This 414-nucleotide ribosomal RNA is filed under the name Salmonella enterica. RNAcentral's name for it is "bacterial SSU rRNA". It matches the Rfam family "Bacterial small subunit ribosomal RNA", at positions 46 to 456 of the family's 1533-position model. The record is from RNAcentral. Lineage: Bacteria; Pseudomonadati; Pseudomonadota; Gammaproteobacteria; Enterobacterales; Enterobacteriaceae. RNAcentral also lists the same sequence under 1 other name.